GUGUUUAUUUUAAUAGCAUGUACACCAAAAAUGGGAGCAAUAUAGAGAGCAUUAGUAGAGCCUCUAUAUAAGGAUAAUACAAAAAUUCAUGAAAUACUCCAAAUUUUA
Sorex fumeus (smoky shrew) is the source of this 108-nucleotide small nuclear RNA. The record is from RefSeq and is a predicted model, not a curated record. NCBI's taxonomy places the organism in Eukaryota, Metazoa, Chordata, Mammalia, Eulipotyphla, Soricidae.